Molecule: ribosomal RNA, 377 nt
Filed under: Prostomatea sp.
Lineage: Eukaryota; Ciliophora; Prostomatea
Description: partial small subunit ribosomal RNA
Rfam family: Eukaryotic small subunit ribosomal RNA
Source: RNAcentral
AUUCCAGCUCCAAUAGCGUAUAUUAAUGUUGUUGCAGUUAAAAAGCUCGUAGUUGAAUUUCUGGUUAAAAUCUUAGCUGGCUUUGGUCGUUAAUGUUUUAAUCAUCCGUUAGAGAACUAUAACCGUCCUUAACUGGUCAUUAUAGAGAUCUAACAUUUUACUUUGAAAAAAUUAGAGUGUUCAAGGCAGGCAAUCGUCAUGAAUACUAUAGCAUGGAAUAAUGGAAUAGGACUUUGGUUCAUUUUAUUGGUUAUUGAACCUUAGUAAUGAUUAACAGGGACAGUUGGGGGCAUUAGUAUUUAAUUGUCAGAGGUGAAAUUCCUGGAUUUAUUAAAGACUAACUUAUGCGAAAGCAUUUGCCAAGGAUGUUUUCAUCA